CCUACGGGGGGCAGCAGUGAGGAAUCUUUGUCAAUGGGCGCGAGCCUGAACCAGCCAAGUCGCGUGAGGGAAGACGGUCCUAUGGAUUGUAAACCUCUUUUGUCGGGGAGCAAAAGACGCCACGCGUGGCGUUCCGAGAGUCCCCGAAGAAAAAGCAUCGGCUAACUCCGUGCCAGCAGCCGCGGUAAUACGGAGGAUGCGAGCGUUAUCCGGAUUUAUUGGGGGUAAAGGGUGCGCAGGCGGAAGAUGAAGUCAGCGGUAAAAUUGAGAGGCUCAACCUCUUCGAGCCGUUGAAACUGGUUAUCUUGAGUGAGCGAGAGGUAUGCGGAAUGCGUGGUGUAGCGGUGAAAUGCAUAGAUAUCACGCAGAACUCCGAUUGCGAAGGCAGCAUACCGGCGCUCAACUGACGCUCAUGCACGAAAGUGUGGGUAUCGAACAGGAUUAGAUACCCUAGUAGUC
RNAcentral lists this ribosomal RNA (459 nucleotides) under uncultured bacterium. RNAcentral's name for it is "partial 16S ribosomal RNA". It matches the Rfam family "Bacterial small subunit ribosomal RNA", at positions 338 to 795 of the family's 1533-position model. The record is from RNAcentral.